Non-coding RNA from Argiope bruennichi, 78 nucleotides. NCBI's taxonomy places the organism in Eukaryota, Metazoa, Arthropoda, Arachnida, Araneae, Araneidae. The record is from the annotation of a RefSeq genome assembly.
UCCCAUGUGGUCUAUUGGUUAGGAUACCUGGCUCUGACUCUGACUCAGGCGGCCCGGGUUCGAUUCCCGGCAUGGGAA